This 538-nucleotide ribosomal RNA is filed under the name uncultured bacterium. Its description in RNAcentral is "bacterial SSU rRNA". It matches the Rfam family "Bacterial small subunit ribosomal RNA", at positions 364 to 896 of the family's 1533-position model. The record is from RNAcentral.
UUGGACAAUGGGCGCAACUGAUCCAGCGAUGCCGCGUGUGUGAAGAAGGCCUGCGGGUUGUAAAGCACUUUCAGUAGGGAAGAAAAGCCGAGUGCUAAUAUCACUCGGUCUUGACGUUACUUACAGAAGAAGCACCGGCUAACUCCGUGCCAGCAGCCGCGGUAAUACGGAGGGUGCGAGCGUUAAUCGGAAUUACUGGGCGUAAAGGGCGCGUAGGCGGUUUGGUAAGUCGGGUGUGAAAGCCCCGGGCUCAACCUGGGAAUUGCAUUCGAUACUGCCUGGCUAGAGUAUGGUAGAGGGAAGCGGAAUUCCGGGUGUAGCGGUGAAAUGCGUAGAUAUCCGGAGGAACACCAGUGGCGAAGGCGGCUUCCUGGACCAAUACUGACGCUGAGGCGCGAAAGCGUGGGGAUCAAACAGGAUUAGAUACCCUGGUAGUCCACGCCCUAAACGAUGAGAACUAGCCGUUGGAGGAGCUUUGUCCUUUAGUGGCGCACUAACGCGAUAAGUUCUCCGCCUGGGGAGUACGGCCGCAAGGUUA